This 71-nucleotide transfer RNA is filed under the name Fukomys damarensis (Damara mole-rat). It matches the Rfam family "tRNA". Rfam says of the family: Transfer RNA (tRNA) molecules are approximately 80 nucleotides in length. Their secondary structure includes four short double-helical elements and three loops (D, anti-codon, and T loops). Lineage: Eukaryota; Metazoa; Chordata; Mammalia; Rodentia; Bathyergidae. The record is from Rfam by way of RNAcentral.
GGGGUUGUAGCUUCGUGGUAAAGCACUUGCCUUGCAAGCAUAAGGCCUUAGAGGUUUGAUCCUCAGCCCCA